UUGUUUUGAAUUAUUUUACAUUUGCUGGCGCUAAAUUUUCUCCCACCACUGUAAUCACAAGGAGUAACCGAACGAAACGGUACUUUUAAAAGCAAACGACAGGAACAAAAGGGAAAGUAAGCGCGCGGUCUUUUUCGGUUCUUUUACAUUUCUCGCCACUUGCGUUUUGAUUUUCUUGGAGACAAUCUCGUGUGCUGUGUUUUAAAUAAAUCGCUGCCGUUGAAAUUUUCAACUGCUGAAGUCAUCUGUUGGUGGAACGUAAAUCUAGCGUUUAAGGCAGUGUUGCCCACGCAGACGACUCUGCCGAAACCGACAGUGCCAACCAGGGGUGCUCAAAACUGCCUUAUGGUAGUGAAUUUAUCAACACAUUUAAAAAAGAUCACGAACACAAGUAAAGAAUUCAGUGUAAAGCCGAGGAAAAGACAUAAACAAAUUUCGAACGCUGCCGAUAAUUUCGAGAUCAUCUUUUUCAACGAAAACCUCGCAUACCAAAGAACGCUUGUUUCGUAAUGGACAAAAAAUGGGAAACCAAUUUAUUAUAUUUUUCUUAAUGAACAGCAGCGGCGUAAUAAUAACAAGAUGAUUACAUGAUUUCUUUUAAAAGCGUGAUUUUGUUUUGAAUUAUUUUACAUUUGCUGGCGCUAAAUUUUCUCCCACCACUGUAAUCACAAGGAGUAACCGAACGAAACGGUACUUUUAAAAGCAAACGACAGGAACAAAAGGGAAAGUAAGCGCGCGGUCUUUUUCGGUUCUUUUACAUUUCUCGCCACUUGCGUUUUGAUUUUCUUGGAGACAAUCUCGUGUGCUGUGUUUUAAAUAAAUCGCUGCCGUUGAAAUUUUCAAAAAAACUAUUACAAAACAGAAGGUUGCAAUAUUCAAAACACUUUUGGAGGACAAUUUGCCAAGGAAUAUUAGUAAGGUAUUAAGUCCCAGUUUAGUGAUGGAGCUAAGCUACGACGGUACUAGGAACAAGGAAGGUUUUGCGCCCUAUAUUCAUUUAAA
Drosophila gunungcola (fruit fly) is the source of this 1002-nucleotide long non-coding RNA. RefSeq lists it as uncharacterized. The record is from RefSeq and is a predicted model, not a curated record. NCBI's taxonomy places the organism in Eukaryota, Metazoa, Arthropoda, Insecta, Diptera, Drosophilidae. The transcript is spliced from 5 exons.